CUUUUUUUUUUUUUGCUUUUUUUUUUUUUUUUUUUGCUUUUUAGGGCUACACCCAUGGCAUAUGGAGGUUCCCAGGCCAGGGUUGAAUCAGAGCUACAGCUGCUGGCCUACACCAUAGCCAUAGCAAUGUUGGAUCCUCAACCCACUGAUCGAGGCCAGGGAUCAAACCCGGGCCCUCAUGGAUCCUAGUCAGGUUCAUUAACUGCUGAGCCAUGAAGGGAACUUCAGGAAUCACUUUUCAUAACUGGUAAAUACCACAGAAAUUUAUACUAGUGGGAAUAUUCUCAAUCUAAGCUUAUUACUAGAAACAUACUGAUGUUCAAACUAGUCUUUUUUUCCCAAAAUCUAUGAUGACAAGAGACAUAUUUUCAUCCUUGUAGUUAACUCUACAUAAAAGAUACUUCAUAAAUCUAUCGGGGCCUGAUACAGUGUUCUUUGUGGGUCCCCAAAUAGAUGGCUGGAUUUGUUAUUCAAAAUUACCUGUAUCUGAUAUCUCAUGUGUAGAAAAGCAAAAAGCAAGUGAGUAAAAAGUGCUUUUAGAAAUGCUAUCAAUUAGUAUAUGACAUUUUCAUACAAUAUUUUUAAAAUUUUAUAUAAAGGAAGUACGAAUGUGUACCAGUUAUUAAACUAUUCUCUCUCAUUCCCAAACACAUUUUUCUGUACUCUACUUGUCACACUGGGACUCUGCAGACUUUUUUUUUAACAGCUGGUCCUUAUUAAAAAUCUGAACAUAUGCUGGGAAAACUGGACAGCUACAUGUAAAAGAGUGAAAUUAGAACAUUCUCUAACACUGCUCACAAAACUAAAUUCAAAAUGGUCUAAACACCUAAAUGUAAAACCACAUACUAUAAAAACUCUUAGAGGAAAACAUAGAGAGCUCUUUGACAUUAAGUCGCAGCAACAUCUUUUUGGAUCUACCUCCAAGAGUAAUGAAAAUAAAAACAAACAAAUGAGACAUAAUUAAACUCAAAAGUUUUUACACUGCAAAGGAUACCAUAAAAUGAAAAGACAUCCUACGGAAUGGGAGAAAAUAUUUGCAAAUGAAACACCUGACAAAGGAUUAAUCUCCAAAAUAUAUAAUCAUCUUAUGCAACUCUAUAUAAAAAAAAAGUCCAAUCAAGAAGACCUAAAAAGAUGUUUCAUCAAAGGAUACAGAUGGCAAAAAAAAAAAAAUUUAAAAAACUGAAAACAAACAAAAAAAGAUGCUCAACAUCUCUAAUGAUUAGAGAAAUGCAAAUCAAAAAUAAAAUGAGGUAUCACCUCACACCAGUCAGAAUGGCCGUCAUCAAAGUAUACAAAUAAUAAAUGCUGGAUAGGGUGUGGAGAAGAGGGAAAUCUACACUGUUGGCAGGAAUGUAAGUUGGUGCAACCACUCCCACUCCCAGGCACAUGUCUAGAGGAAACCAUAAUUUGAAAAUAUACACACACCCCGAUGUUCACUGAGGCACUAUUUACGAUAGCCACGACAUGGAGGCAAUCUAAAUGUCCAUCAGCAGAAGAAUGGGUUAAGAAGAUGUGGUGCAUAUAUACUACAGAAUACUUCCCAGCCAUAAAAAAGGAAAUAAUGCCAUUUGUAGCAACAUGGACGGACUAGAGACUUUCAUACUAAAUGAAGUAAGUCAGACAAAGACAAAUAUAUGAUGUCACUUACAUGUGGAAUCUUAAAAAAAAGAUAGAGAAGAUACAAAUGAACUUACUUACAAAACAGAAAACAGACUCACAGACUUCAAAAAUGAAGUUAUGAUUACCAAAGGGGAAAGGUGGCAGAGGGGGAUGGAUUAGGGGUUGGGACUGGCAUAUGCACACUAUGGUAUAAUGCAUGGUCAAUUGGAACUCUACUUAAUAUUCUGGAAUAAUUUAUAUGGGAAAAGAAUCUGACAAACAAGGAAGACGAAUGAAGAAUACACUCUGGCUUCUCCGUGUCGUCUUCAUCUAUCAUUACUUCUCUUGACUUUAUACAGAAGCAGAAAAUAAUUACACAGAUGAGUCAAGCUCACCAUUUUUUUUUCCUUCUUUUUUGCGGUCACAUCUACAGCGUAUGAAAGUUCCCAGACCAGGGGUCAAAUCAGAGCUGCUGCUGCCAGCCUCUGCCACAGCAAUGCAGGAUCUGAGCCACAUUUUGACCUAUGCCACAGCUUGCAGCAACACUGGAUCCUUAAGCAACACUGGACCCUGAGCAAGGCCAGGGAUCCAACUCGCAACUUCACAGAGACCAAGUUGGGUUCUCAACCCACUGAGCCACAAUGGGAACUCCCCAAACUUAUCUUUAAAAAAGCAAUUAAGUGGAAGCAUGAAAACAAAUUUCAUGUGGAAUUAAAAGGAAAAAUGUCAGAUGAAGAAGGUGUGGGUGAAUUUAAGUUAUAAAACCUAGGUGACACAACUAGAAGAUACAAUAUAAAGAAAAUUAAAUUUACUCAAUGUGUUUACUUUUAUUUUAUCAUCUAUUUUUACACACUGGCCUAUUGAUUCUGUAAAUUAAUCUUACCCAACUCCUUAAAACCAGAGAUCACAUAAACAUAAAUGAAAUGAGAGAAAGCUGGUAGAUUUAGAUAUCCUUCUGUACAAACAAGUAAUUUCUCACCAACUGUGCUUUUGAAGCAUGGCUUUGUGUUGAAUAUAUUCACCUUGUAAUUUGAUUAUUCCUUAUGCCAUUCACUUCUGUCACCUUAACUAGGAAAACAAAGCAUUAUAUUGCCUCCUCUCUUAAUGGACCAGAGUCCAAGCCCAGGAAAUUGUGUCCUUAAGAAGCACAAUAAUUUGUGAAAAGCCCAUGCCUUUCAAAAGCAUUUUACUAGAACUUGAGGAAAUUCAUGUGGGUGAAUUAUAGGGCAAAAAAGACAGGAUAUUUUAAACCAAUAAAUGUGGAUUCAAAAACUUACACAAAACUUAUAAUCUGAAUAAAAUAAACCUUGGGAGAAAAUUGGCCUCUAAAGAUCCUUUCCCUGGUAAUGUUUCCCAAACAAAAGAGAAAAAUGACCAGCAAAAGCUUUCUUUCUUUCUUUUCUUUUCUUUUUUUUUUUUUUUUUUUUUUUUUUUUUUUGUCUUUUGUUUUUUUAGGGCCGCACCUACGGCAUAUGGAGGUUCCCAGACUAGGAGUCUAAUCAGAGCUAUAGCUGCUGGCCUACAUCCCAGCCACAGCAACACCAGAUCCGAGCUGUGUCUACGACCUACACCACAGCUCACAGCAACGCUGGAUCCUUAACCCACUGAGAGAGGCCAGGCAUUGAAUCCACAACCUCAUGCUUCCUAGUCUGAUUCAUUUCCACUUUGCCACAGGGGAACUCCAGCAAAAGCUUUUUUAAAAAAAAAAUGAAAAGUAUGGGGUUGUUUUUAAUUAUAAGAAACUGUAAAAAAGGAGGGAAAAAAAGCCCUACAAUCCUCCUGACAGUUAAAUCAUAUUUUACAUAAAAGUAAUACAUAAAUAUUAGAAAGUCAGUGAAAUGGUGUUAAAUGAAAACCAAGGUGUUCCCUGGUGGCUCAGUGGGUUAAGGACCUGGCACAUCUGUGCUGUGGUUUGGGUUCCAUCUGUGGUAUGGGAACUUCUACAUGCUGUGAGGUGUGGCCAAAAAAACAUAAAUAAAUAAGAGAGAAAGAAAACCAAAAGCUUCUUCCUUUUCCCAGGAAUAAACUGUCUUGGAAAAAAUGAGGUUUUUUUAACCUUCCAGAGAGAGAAAAAAAAAAAAAGAAUACAAACACAUAUAUUUAUUUUGAAAGUUUUUAAAAAAAAGUGGAGAAAUAGGAGUUCCCGUCGUGGCGCAGUGGUUAACGAAUCCAACUAGGAACCAUGAGGUUGCAGGUUUGAUCCCUGCUCUUGCUCAGUGGGUCAAGGUUCCGGUGUUGCCGUGAGCUGUGGUGUAGGUCGCAGACACAGCUUGGAUCCUGCGUUGCUGUGGCUCUGGCGUAGGCUGGCAGCUACAGCUCCUAUUCGACCCCUAGCCCGGGAA
RNAcentral lists this long non-coding RNA (3944 nucleotides) under Sus scrofa (pig). RNAcentral describes it as "lncRNA (ENSSSCG00030035114.1)". The record is from RNAcentral. Lineage: Eukaryota; Metazoa; Chordata; Mammalia; Artiodactyla; Suidae.